RNAcentral lists this transfer RNA (73 nucleotides) under Stegodyphus dumicola. Its description in RNAcentral is "tRNA-Ala". It matches the Rfam family "tRNA". From Rfam's summary of the family: Transfer RNA (tRNA) molecules are approximately 80 nucleotides in length. Their secondary structure includes four short double-helical elements and three loops (D, anti-codon, and T loops). Further hydrogen bonds mediate the characteristic L-shaped molecular structure. tRNAs have two regions of fundamental functional importance: the anti-codon, which is responsible for specific mRNA codon recognition, and the 3' end, to which the tRNAs corresponding amino acid is attached (by aminoacyl-tRNA synthetases). tRNAs cope with the degeneracy of the genetic code in two manners: having more than one tRNA (with a specific anti-codon) for a particular amino acid; and 'wobble' base-pairing, i.e. permitting non-standard base-pairing at the 3rd anti-codon position. Lineage: Eukaryota; Metazoa; Arthropoda; Arachnida; Araneae; Eresidae. The record is from RNAcentral.
GCCUUCAUAGUGUAGUGUUCAGCACGCUCGACGCGCAUUCGAGAGGUCCGUGGUUCGAGUCCCGGCGAGGGCA